This 497-nucleotide ribosomal RNA is filed under the name uncultured bacterium. RNAcentral describes it as "partial 16S ribosomal RNA". It matches the Rfam family "Bacterial small subunit ribosomal RNA", at positions 28 to 507 of the family's 1533-position model. The record is from RNAcentral.
GAUGAACGCUGGCGGCGUGCCUAAUACAUGCAAGUAGAACGCUGAAGGAAGGAGCUUGCUCUUUCCGGAUGAGUUGCGAACGGGUGAGUAACGCGUAGGUAACCUGCCUGGUAGCGGGGGAUAACUAUUGGAAACGAUAGCUAAUACCGCAUAACAGUAGAUGUUGCAUGAUAUCUACUUAAAAGGUGCAAUUGCCCCACUACCAGAUGGACCUGCGUUGUAUUAGCUAGUUGGUGAGGUAACGGCUCACCAAGGCGACGAUACAUAGCCGACCUGAGAGGGUGAUCGGCCACACUGGGACUGAGACACGGCCCAGACGCCUACGGGAGGCAGCAGGAGGGAAUCUUCGGCAAUGGACGGAAGUCUGACCGAGCAACGCCGCGGGAGUGCAGAAGGUUUUCGGAUCGUAAAGCUCUGUUGUAAGAGAAGAACGAGUGUGAGAGUGGAAAGUUCACACUGUGACGGUAGCUUACCAGAAAGGGACGGCUAACUACGUG